RNAcentral lists this ribosomal RNA (739 nucleotides) under Eridontomerus sp. 1317_21. RNAcentral's name for it is "SSU rRNA". It matches the Rfam family "Eukaryotic small subunit ribosomal RNA", at positions 503 to 1203 of the family's 1831-position model. The record is from RNAcentral. Lineage: Eukaryota; Metazoa; Arthropoda; Insecta; Hymenoptera; Torymidae.
CCGUNAUCGNAAUGAGUACACUUUAAAUCCUUUAACGAGGAUCCAUUGNAGGGCAAGUCUGGUGCCAGCAGCCGCGGUAAUUCCAGCUCCAAUAGCGUAUAUNAAAGUUGUUGCGGUUAAAAAGCUCGUAGUUGAAUUUGUGUCCCACGCUGUUGGUUCAUCGCUCGCGAUGUUUAACUGACAUGACGGUGGGACGUCCUGCCGGUGGGCUUAGCCUUUCGGGGCGGUCCAGCUAAUAUCCCAUCGCGGUGCUCUUGAUUGAGUGUCGAGGUGGGCCGGUACGUUUACUUUGAACAAAUUAGAGUGCUCAAAGCAGGCUAUGUUUGCCUGAAUACUUAGUGCAUGGAAUAAUGGAAUAGGACCUCGGUUCUAUUUUGUUGGUUUUCGGAACCCCGAGGUAAUGAUUAAUAGGGACAGAUGGGGGCAUUCGUAUUGCGACGUUAGAGGUGAAAUUCUUGGAUCGUCGCAAGACGAACAGAAGCGAAAGCAUUUGCCAAAAAUGUUUUCAUUAAUCAAGAACGAAAGUUAGAGGUUCGAAGGCGAUCAGAUACCGCCCUAGUUCUAACCAUAAACGAUGCCAGCUAGCGAUCCGCCGAAGUUCCUCCGAUGACUCGGCGGGCAGCUUCCGGGAAACCAAAGCUUUUGGGUUCCGGGGGAAGUAUGGUUGCAAAGCUGAAACUUAAAGGAAUUGACGGAAGGGCACCACCAGGAGUGGAGCCUGCGGCUUAAUUUGACUCAC